CAGUAGCCGCGGUAAUGCGGAGGGAGCUAGCGUUGUUCGGAAUUACUGGGCGUAAAGCGCACGUAGGCGGUUAUUCAAGUCAGAGGUGAAAGCCCGGGGCUCAACCCCGGAACUGCCUUCGAAACUAGAUGACUGGAAUCUUGGAGAGGUCAGUGGAAUUCCGAGUGUAGAGGUGAAAUUCGUAGAUAUUCGGAAGAACACCAGUGGCGAAGGCGACUGACUGGACAAGUAUUGACGCUGAGGUGCGAAAGCGUGGGGAGCAAACAGGAUUAGAUACCCCCGUAGUCCCUGUCUCUUAUCC
This 301-nucleotide ribosomal RNA is filed under the name uncultured bacterium. RNAcentral describes it as "partial 16S ribosomal RNA". It matches the Rfam family "Bacterial small subunit ribosomal RNA", at positions 509 to 809 of the family's 1533-position model. The record is from RNAcentral.